UGGUGAUUUUAAUUUGUCACAAAGGUAAGC
Molecule: non-coding RNA, 30 nt
Filed under: Mus musculus (house mouse)
Lineage: Eukaryota; Metazoa; Chordata; Mammalia; Rodentia; Muridae
Source: RNAcentral